UUUCUAACCAGCUAACUUAUGUCCAUGUUUUUAUCAUCCUAUGAAAACAUGGUCAUACGGGGUCCGGACAGAAGGUGGAUCCGCAGAGUGGACUAGCUGGCAACAAAGACAGGAUCCACGCUGCAAGAUGCAGCAGUCACAGGAGCUACUGACUGGACUGAAUGAAACACACGCCUGGCUGGAUGAACACACAUGCAUGUUCCAAGAUGGUGAAUGGGGGAGAAACACGAGACUUCCAGGACAUGAGAAACAGAUGCUCUACACUACUGUGGAUGGACACCUUUCCCAGGAAGGACAAGAACAAGAGGAGAGGAUGAGCUGAACAAUAACUGAUCUGUAGUGCUGAGAAAAGGAGAAACCAGAAAGGCAGGAAGGAGUUGUGACUUAUUCAAAUCUAUCCUUUUGUAUUUACACAAAGGCCAGAGUUAGUUAGACAUUGUGAAGCCUAUUGUAUUUUAUUGACACAUAACUUGAUCAUCCACAGGCUUGACGAACCUAUGUCUCGUGACCCAGCGUGGCUCUCAUUUUCAUUCCAUCUGUCACGCUACUGUAUGUCAUAUCUUAUUCGUGCAUACCAAUGUCCAUUUUAAUUAGUCAUUCUGGGUCAACGCAGACCUCUUCCUGCUCCGAGCAGCGGUGCGGCAGAUGUGUGAAUGAAAUUUGUGUGCUAUUAUUUGAGUGAAAAUAGGCCGUUAGAGCCAUUGUGACGAGACAACAGCCCCUGUAUGGUAAUAAAAUACAUACAUCAGGGUUAAAAAGAAAAGACAGUUGUAGAGAUGUAACAACAUGAAACACUUUAGUUGGUAUCUGUGUGCAAAAAAAUAAAUGGUUACGCCUCAAAAGGUUCAUCUUAAUUAAAUUCAACCCCAUUAUUUCUCCAAAAAAUCAAAUGAGGCUUUUCAGUGUAUUAGUGUUACAAUUAAUUAUCAUAAUUAGAAUUAUCAUAAUUGUGCCUGUGCAGGAAAACACAGUUAAGAAAAACAUCCUUUUUGCAUGUUAAUACACAUAUUUCUCUGCUGCAGCUGGUGACUAACAGUUCAACACUUUUCUGUAGCAUAUAAAACAAAUGAUAAAUCUGUGUAGGUGCAGCAGACCUCUGAUAAUCACACUCAGUUGCCAUUUUGUUUUCAUGUCACUGUUCAUCCUUAACUUAGUCAGUUUGAAUUCAUCAAAAAACUGAGAUGAGGGCGGCAAUUCAGAGACGUGGAGCAAGACUAAAAUGUGUACACUGUUUACAAUCACCCUCCAAGCUCUCUGUGUCAAAUGGAGGCUCACAACAAUCAGCUGUUGAAUCGCUAAAAAAUUGUUUACUGUAUGUUCAAGAGCGUGAAGCAGUGUUUGGCCUUGAGAAAAGUAGUAAAUUUGAGUUCAAAUCUUACAAAUAAGGGCAUUAUGAAAAGCCCAUUUAAGGCAAGGUCGGCGCUAUGGAGUCAGCACUGGGAGGGGACCAAAUCUGCUGGGAUGGGAUGUGUCCGCCCCCCUUAUAUAUAUUUUAAUUACUGCCUUGAUUAGAGGUGUUGUACAUAAUUGAUAUAAUGUUAUAAUUUUUGACAAUAUAGUCCUAUUUUACACCAGUGUAUACACAGUUUAUACAGUCAUACAUGUGUACAAUAAGCAGACAGAUAUGUUGUCUUGUCAUUAUUAUAUUAAAACCUGUCAAUCACUUCCACAUGUUUUGAUUUUUGGUGGUUGGACUUUUGCUCAUCUGGUAACAAGCCUUUAAGCUCUGUUUUUGCUUUUCAAAUGUUAUUAUUUACACAUCCUGUCAGUGUUUGGUUAUUUCAACUACAACCUGAGAGAAGCAACAGUUAAGCAUCUUCAACCAACCACACCUAACCCCACACUGCAGCCAUAGUCCUCUCCUGCAGCUGCCGUUUGGACCUUCAUCUUGUUAUCAUGUUAAUUAUUGUCCACCACAGCGAACUGCAAGGCUUUCUUAUUCCUCAAGAGGACUUUCACCCCAGCUUGGAGACAUGAUAAGCUUUUUAUAUUCAGUAGAUCUUGUAUUUCACCAAAGAGAUGAAGAUAUCUGUUGCUUCUAGACACAUGUGGGUCAUUUUUAGAAAUCAUUAUUCUUACAGAUCAACAACAAAUACUCACACAACUAUGUCAAACCGAUUAUCUUCCAUGUUUCCGGACCUCAUCAAUCAG
This is a long non-coding RNA of Epinephelus moara (kelp grouper), 2151 nucleotides long. RefSeq lists it as uncharacterized. The record is from RefSeq and is a predicted model, not a curated record. Lineage: Eukaryota; Metazoa; Chordata; Actinopteri; Perciformes; Serranidae. The transcript has 3 exons.